This 889-nucleotide ribosomal RNA is filed under the name uncultured bacterium. RNAcentral describes it as "bacterial SSU rRNA". It matches the Rfam family "Bacterial small subunit ribosomal RNA", at positions 8 to 853 of the family's 1533-position model. The record is from RNAcentral.
AGAGUUUGAUCAUGGCUCAGGAUGAACACUGGCGGCGUGCCUAAUACAUGCAAGUCGAACGCUUUGUCUUUAAUUGAUCUGACGAGCUUGCUCUGAUGUGAUUUUAUCUGACAAAGAGUGGCGAACGGGUGAGUAACACGUGGGUAACCUACCUCUUAGCAGGGGAUAACAUUUGGAAACAAGUGCUAAUACCGUAUAAUACCAACAACCGCAUGGUUGUUGGUUGAAAGAUGGUUCUGCUAUCACUAAGAGAUGGACCCGCGGUGCAUUAGCUAGUUGGUAAGGUAAUGGCUUACCAAGGCAAUGAUGCAUAGCCGAGUUGAGAGACUGAUCGGCCACAAUGGGACUGAGACACGGCUCAUACUCCUACGGGAGGCAGCAGUAGGGAAUCUUCCACAAUGGGCGCAAGCCUGAUGGAGCAACGCCGCGUGUGUGAUGAAGGGUUUCGGCUCGUAAAACACUGUUAUAAGAGAAGAACGGCACUGAGAGUAACUGUUCAGUGUGUGACGGUAUCUUACCAGAAAGGAACGGCUAAAUACGUGCCAGCAGCCGCGGUAAUACGUAUGUUCCAAGCGUUAUCCGGAUUUAUUGGGCGUAAAGCGAGCGCAGACGGUUAUUUAAGUCUGAGGUGAAAGCCCUCAGCUCAACUGAGGAAUGGCUUUGGAAACUGGAUGACUUGAGUGCAGUAGAGGAAAGUGGAACUCCAUGUGUAGCGGUGAAAUGCGUAGAUAUAUGGAAGAACACCAGUGGCGAAGGCGGCUUUCUGGACUGUAACUGACGUUGAGGCUCGAAAGUGUGGGUAGCAAACAGGAUUAGAUACCCUGGUAGUCCACACCGUAAACGAUGAGUGCUAGAUGUUCGAGGGUUUCCGCCCUUGAGUGUCGCAGCU